UUGACUGCAACAAGGAGAAGAUGCCAAUGAAACAUUUGCUCCAGAUUGAAAACAUCAUUCGAGAAAACCAAAUCAAUUUGGAAGAAGCUCCCUUUGCUCUAGUAAUUAUCAAUUCACAACAAAAGAUUCUCCAAAAUUGAAGAAGACACAGAAAAAGUAAAAGAAAAAAAGGAUCUUUCGAUCCCAACCCAAGUCAAGUCUAUGUUUUUUCCCCCCUUUUUGGCAAGUUCUUCUCCGAUUACUCCUUCCUGGAGUCACUCAAAAUUCCUCAAGAGUCUUCUAUUCAUGAAAGGUAUACUUUUUUCGUGUGUCUAUAUACAUGUGUAAAGAUAAACAGAAACAGUAUGUUUAUUCUAGAAAGGGGGAAAAAGUUGUUCUUGUUGGCUAGAAAACCAUUUCAGCAUGUUCAUAAAAGGAGCCAGGAAAAAGUAACCAAACAGCGUCAAGAAAACUGCGGAAUGAAGUAAAAUACCUCCGUUCUGACUAUCCAAGAGGGCCUGGAAACGGAGAGAAGAGGCGUCGCGGCUGGGCUGGGAUUCCGUGGAGGAGGAGGAGCACCGUUGCCGGAGCCAGUGGCCUCCAAUCGGACGGCAUGAAAUACGACACCGGGCGCUCCGAUCGCAGCCAUUUCUCAAUCGUCCGAUUCCCGGGAGCAGGGUGUCUGAGAUAAAUUAGAUAUAGCAAUGGUUACUCACCCGAUUUAAGAUUCUUCCAGUUGGAGUUGAAUCAAAAAAUGCCAUUGGAGCCCGUAUUACACUACGCAGCAUGCUGUUAAAGAGCUUUUGUGAUGUCAGAAUUCCAACUACCGCCACUAGUGUGGAUCGGACCAGCACACAAAGUGAACCACCAACAGCAAGAAGUGUAUAAACUAGUAAUAUAAAAUCCAUCCCUGCUAUUAGCUCAGUACCACUUGUGGUAGGACAAGCCCAUGCCAUCCAGUAAUUACUGGCGAUCUGUAAUACUUGGAAUGUUGACUGGGCCAGAAUAAUGAUUGGAACUAAUGCACCGCCCUUCACAGUGGUCAAGUUCAGCUCUGAAUCUUGCUUGGUAUAAGCGAGUUCUGAGCUUGAUGUAAGGUUGUCACUGGCUUCAUCAUCUGGUAUUUCAUUUUGAGAUGAUUUACUUGAACUUUCAACUGUUAGGAUAGCAUCUAGAGCUUGGCUAUGAGCUCCAACCAGAACUUCAAAUCCUAUAUUCUGUACCAGAAGUUCUUCAAAUGUCCCAGCUUGCAUGAUUCUUCCAUUUUGCAUUACCUGCAGAUGUUUUUCAUUAACAGCAUGAUUACCUUUUCUUAUAAAUUAAUCAUUCAUAAUUCUAAGGAAUUCCUUAGUUGUACUUCCUAUCUUCAUAAAAGAUAUGUUGCAUGAUUUGACCAAAUAGAGUUCUUAUUUAGAUCAA
Long non-coding RNA from Diospyros lotus (date-plum), 1398 nucleotides. RefSeq lists it as uncharacterized. The record is from RefSeq and is a predicted model, not a curated record. Lineage: Eukaryota; Viridiplantae; Streptophyta; Magnoliopsida; Ericales; Ebenaceae. The transcript has 4 exons.